GAUGAAGAACGCAGCGAAAUGCGAUAAGUAAUGUGAAUUGCAGAAUUCAGUGAAUCAUCGAAUCUUUGAACGCACACUGCGCCCUUUGGUAUUCCGGGGGGCAUGCCUGUCCGAGCGUCAUUACAACCCUCAAGCUCAGCUUGGUGUUGGGCCCCGCCGCCCCGGCGGGCCCUAAAGUCAGUGGCGGUGCCGUCCGGCUCCGAGCGUAGUAAUUCUUCUCGCUCUGGAGGUCCGGUCGUGUGCUCGCCAGCAACCCCCAAUUUUUUUCAGGUUGACCUCGGAUCAGGUAGGGAUACCCGCUGAACUUAAGCAUAUCAAUAAGCGGAGGA
Molecule: unclassified non-coding RNA, 329 nt
Filed under: soil metagenome
Description: partial contains 5.8S ribosomal RNA, internal transcribed spacer 2, and large subunit ribosomal RNA
Rfam family: 5.8S ribosomal RNA (bases 1-120)
Source: RNAcentral